This 465-nucleotide ribosomal RNA is filed under the name uncultured bacterium. RNAcentral describes it as "partial 16S ribosomal RNA". It matches the Rfam family "Bacterial small subunit ribosomal RNA", at positions 339 to 795 of the family's 1533-position model. The record is from RNAcentral.
CUACGGGGCGCUGCAGUGGGGAAUAUUGCGCAAUGGGGGAAACCCUGACGCAGCGACGCCGUGUGAGUGAUGAAGGUUUUCGGAUCGUAAAGCUCUGUCGGAUGGGACGAAUAAGGACUGUGUGAAUAAUGCAGUCCGAUGACGGUACCGUCGAAGGAAGCACCGGCUAACUCCGUGCCAGCAGCCGCGGUAAUACGGAGGGUGCAAGCGUUGUUCGGAAUUAUUGGGCGUAAAGGACGCGUAGGCGGGCUUGUAUGUCAGAUGUGAAAGCCCCAGGCUCAACCUGGGAAGUGCAUCUGAAACUGCAGGUCUUGAGUACGAGAGAGGAGAGUGGAAUUCCCAGUGUAGAGGUGAAAUUCAUAGAUAUUGGGAAGAACACCGGCGGCGAAAGCGGCUCUCUGGCUCGAUACUGACGCUGAGGCGUGAAAGCGUGGGGAGCAAACAGGAUUAGAUACCCCAGUAGUC